UAAUAAUUGUUUUUAAUUUAAAAAUAUCCGAGAUGGUGAGAUCUGAAAUUAACUAAUUAAUUAAUCAAGUUGUUUAUUUGUUUUACCUUCAAAAAAUCCUAAGAAGAUGAGAUCUGAUAGGACAGGAAAGCAGAAAGACGGUAAAACUGAGUGAAUGUAGAACUUGUGUGGAUAGUGUUUUGUGAUUCUAGUCUGGUAGUUCUUUGUUCAGGUUGCCCUUUGAUUCAACACCUUUGAAAAGUGUACGAUUGGUGUAUGUACACAAGGCCUUUUCAUGAUACCCAGCUUUGAGCGAAAAUAACGUCAAGUCUGGUGUAAGUGUAGUCAGAAGGUGUGUUGGUUCUUCAGACUGCUUGUGUGUGGAUAUAGCAGUUCAGGAUUAUGAAACAGGAUCUACUUUUGUUACACAAAUAAGAACUAAAUUACUUCCUGUUAAUAAAUCUAUAUCUGAUAGGUUACGGCUGUGCAAUACAUUGAGUUUCUCCACAGUUUUGUCUUCUUAAAUGUCUUCAUUGAAAGGAGAGGAUACUGGUUCAAUACCUGUCCACUCGCUUUUCAUGCAAACAAUAUUUAUUCUGCCAUUGCUUUAGAAGAACUUUGGCCUGUGCUCUGACUGUGCACUAAAAGUGGAGUGGCUGUAUAUUUUGCUGUUGUCUGAAAGAUCUCCAUGUUGAAGCAAUAAAAGGCUUUUCUUCCAGUUGCGUUCCUCCCUUUAGCCGUUAUAGAGUGCCUCUCACUAAACAAAUUGCACAUCACUCUACCUCGCGGGCCAGCAUAGAGCGAGCAAUGUUUUGAAAGCUUGAGAUUAUUGGGCUACCAUACGUGCAGCAACUUACCAAGAGAGAUGGAGAGCAUUGUAUAACAGUUAUUGUGCGCUCACAAAAAGGAACAUAAUAUGUACUAAAACCCCAUUUGACUAGUAAUUGUUUCUCAGGGGAGCUUCUGUAAAAUAAUGUUUGCAUGUUGUCAGGUAAAGUUGCAUCAGAUGUAGUCAGUCAUGUGACUUUUCUAGUGUGGUGUUGAACAAGCUAAAACCUUUAGGCUUUAUUCAGGUGGUGACUGUUUUGUCAAUUACAGGUGAAUUUAUUGCUGUUCUUUCUCCAUCGUUAUUGUUUUUUCUCCAUUAUCCAGGAGAAAAUUCCCAGAUCUGGAGGGCAUCCCUGUCUUUUCCUUGUGUGCCAAAUCGAUUGCAGGUAAACUAAUCUACUCUUGAAGCCACCUGAAUAAAGAAGCCCUCCAGAUGAAAGCUUUUACAGUACAUGCCAAGUGGACAGGGAAUUGUGGGAUUGCAGUCAAUGGGGCCUGUCAUGGUUUCCAUGGUUGCCGUCUCCAGGGAGACACGAGAUGCGAGAAGCAUCCGUGCUGAUAUGGGUUGAGAUGACAUGUGAAUGGAUAUUGCCUCUAUAAAGUCCUUAAAAUCAUUUACACAAUAUGGAUGUGGUAUUUUUAUGGCUUUAUAAGGAAUCUGCUGUACUACCCAUCUAUUGAAGGUUCAAGAGUUUCACGGAAAUUUAGUUUUAAAGAUUUCAUUCACUGAUAAUGGUUCAGUGAUUCAGUGAGUUGUCAACUCAAGACCCAAUCGGACCGAUUCAGUCAGAUUUGUGAAUUGUUCAGUAUGGUUUGUGAAUGUAUCAGUCAGUCAAUUUCACGAACAAAUUGUUCAGUCGUUUGAUAAACUAGUCUUAUAAUUUCAUUUGCUGAAUGAAUCGUUUACACCAGAUCUGUCAGUCAUUCGGGCUGGUUCUGUGAAUCAUUCUAUCAUUUCUCUAAGUCAUUAAAUCA
Long non-coding RNA from Cyprinus carpio carpio, 1782 nucleotides. NCBI's taxonomy places the organism in Eukaryota, Metazoa, Chordata, Actinopteri, Cypriniformes, Cyprinidae. The record is from Ensembl.